GCCGGGUGUGGUGGUGCAUGCCUGUAAUCCCAGCCACUCAGGGGCUGAGACAGGAGGAUCUCACCUUGGACUCCACAAGGAACUAAGCAACUCAGUGAGACUCUGUCUCUA
This 111-nucleotide small RNA is filed under the name Marmota monax (woodchuck). The record is from RNAcentral. Lineage: Eukaryota; Metazoa; Chordata; Mammalia; Rodentia; Sciuridae.